This 165-nucleotide ribosomal RNA is filed under the name uncultured Lactococcus sp. RNAcentral describes it as "partial 16S ribosomal RNA". It matches the Rfam family "Bacterial small subunit ribosomal RNA", at positions 340 to 498 of the family's 1533-position model. The record is from RNAcentral. Lineage: Bacteria; Bacillati; Bacillota; Bacilli; Lactobacillales; Streptococcaceae.
UACGGGAGGCAGCAGUAGGGAAUCUUCGGCAAUGGACGAAAGUCUGACCGAGCAACGCCGCGUGAGUGAAGAAGGUUUUCGGAUCGUAAAACUCUGUUGUUAGAGAAGAACGUUGCAUAGAGUGGAAAAUUAUGCAAGUGACGGAUCUACCAGAAAGACGCACCC